AUACUCCUUCCGGAGGCUGCAGCAAUACCUUGCUAUAAACCCUAAAUCUUGAAACACUCCAAUCCCUAAUCAGAAUGCUCCGCUUGUCGCCGCUCUCUACUCGAUUUUCUACCAGUUGCAAUCUUAACAAUAUUUUUCGUGUAUGGUCUUCUUCUUCUUAAGUGCAGCUCGACUUCUCCAGACCUUUUUGAGGUUUGAAGACAUUGAUUUUAUUUUCUUGUCAAAUUAUUGGGGUUUGUUUAUAAUUGUUUCUUGUUUAUUGAAUUGUAUGCAAAUGAUGAUAUAUAAAAUUUGUCAUACUCCCACUGGAGAAAGAUGAUAUAUUUAUUGGGAAAUCAGAAUCUCUGAUGCAUAUUUGUGCUGCUAAGAUGCUAUUUUUAUCAAAGAUUUACUAAUUUAUUUUAAUUUUUGGGGGGAGGGGUUGUUGGUUCAAUUUGAACUUAGUUGAAGUUGCAGCUUUCUUAGAAUGCCCGCAUGCCUAUGAUGGCGUUAAAUAUACUUUGAGUGAUGAACUAUGAAAAGCAUAUUAACCUGAGGCUAUGAGGCAUUUUAUUUGUUUCUUUUUUAUUAGGAAUUUUUUUUGGGGGGUACAAUUCAGUUGCAAUGUUUUGUUAAUAUAAUUACUGCAAAGGUUUGAUUUUUGCAAGUGAUGACAAAAUAGACAGGGACAUCAGAUCUCCUUUUAGGAGAAAGAUGACUUGGUCUAAUGGGAAUCUCUCUGAUGCUAUAUUAGUUAAAUGAAUGUUUUGAUCUUCCUAGAACUCUCCUUUGAUAUUUUCUACUUGAAAGUAUGUUUAUAAUGCAUUGUACUUUUGUAUAUAUGUUUUCACGCUCUCGGUAGAUGGUACCGGUGAUGGUGUUAAAUAUACUUUGAGUUCUAUACAUUGAAAAUAUUGAAAUCUGAGGUACCAAAAUUCCAACUUUUUUGAGUGGUUUUGGUUGCACUUUUGAUGAGUGUUUGUCGAAAUACCAGGUUAUAUGAUGCAAGUGAUUUUUGUUUGUGGCUGCUACUGUUAUCUUCUUAAUGCUUUUUGUUGUUUUCUUUUCAAUUUGCAAUGAGUUGGUUUGUGCAUAUGAUGAUAAACAGACAGGGACAUCAGCACUCUAUUAGAGUAUGAUGAUUUGUCGAUGGGAAUCUCUCUGAUGUAUAAACUUCACCUCAAAAAAUUAUGAUUUUUUUGCUCUUCCCCUCUGUUUUUGAACUCUUGUUAUGUCUUGACCUGAAUUCAGAUGCACGAGACAUUUUAAUUGAUUGCAUUCCAUAAUUUUAGUUCAUAUCACAAAUGGUUUUUUAUCGCCAUAUGUAUUUUCAGUUAUUUUCUCAAAGUUGGAUAAAACUAGCUCUGGUCAAGCCAAUAGACACGGUACUCCUAGAUCCUCAUUUUCAACUCCUUGGUGUAUUAAUGGGUUGGCCACCCAGUUUAUACUUUUGUGAAGCCCUAAGAUAAUUCUUCCCCUCAUUCUUUUAUCUCCAGAAAAACUUAAUCUAGGGUCAUAAGACUUGUAAAAUGAACCACACCUUCGUAGAAUUGAUCUUAAGCUGGACAAAGGAUCUGGUGGACUCACUGUCUGUUGGUGGACCAUUUGUGUCAUUAUCUCCAGCAUUUGUAUUUUGUUUCAUCACGCUUGUGCUGUGUCUGCAUUAGUAUCUUUAUUGUGUACAUAGCACAUUUUUUUCUUGGAAAAUUUUUGUUGGAUUAUUGAAAUUAUUUUGCCGAUGAUGCACUCUAUAGCAUUUAUUAUCAGAAAUUAAAGAUGAUGAUAUGCAAAUUGUCACUACCUCUGAGGCAAAUCAUUGAUGACACAGUACUUAAAUGUGUAGUUUGUAUACAACUACUGAAUUUUAAACCUAUAUCUGUAUUGGAACCUCUUCAGCUGCUUUCAAUGUGUCCACCAUUGCCUGUAUUGUCAGAGAAAGAGAUGAUGAUAUGUCAUCAUUGAUACCUCUGAGGUAUCUCAAGGGUCCUUUUGUUCCCCCUCCCAAGCUCCGUUGUUGUGCUUAUGUUCAUGUUGGAUGGAUUAAUGAUGUAAUUUUAAAUUUUAGUGGAGCAGAACACAAUAAGAUGAUCAGGGCUAUUUUAUUCUGAAUGUUAUAGCCUGCGUUACAUCCAGGUUUGGCGGUUCGGCCUGGAUGUAAUGGCUGAUUCACCAUCAGACUUCACGGGGUUGGACAUGAAGCAACAAAAAGUUGCUGUAAGCUAAAAUAGUCAAAUUGCCUCUAAAAGUUGAUUGCAGCUUCCUCUCCCGAUCAUGAAAAAUGAGACUACCUCCUCUGUCCAACAUGUUGAGUUCACCUUCGACAGAGAAGGAGCUCUCGUCAAAGUCUAAGGCGGUAGGCGCAUCUAUGUGUGUAUAUAUAUACACACAUACAACACAGACCAGGUAGCAAACAAAAGCACAAAUGCUGGGAGAUGGGAAACUUCAGAGAAGAAAUCAAAAUGGGAUUUUCCAGAAAUUGUUUCAUUCCUUUUCUAAUUGUCUUUUAAUGUUCCACCAAGUAAUUGGAUGUCCCUUUCAUGCUAUCUCAGCAACUUCUCCAGUCUUCACCACCCCAGUUUGUUUUAUGGUGAAAGGCCAAGGGCCAGCUAGUGGCUGCUCACUUACGUCUGCUAGCUACUGUAUUUAUGUAGACUGGAAGCUAGAGAGAUGCUAAGGUAUAGAGCUGCUACUAGAGAAGGUACUUUCAUGCUAGGCGUCCGGACCUAUUACGCGCAAGCUGCAUUCCCGGCACACUUGCUAUAUCCACUAAUUCUUCAUACCACAUCAUACUACCUACUAUACCUGAUAGAGAGCCGUUAUAACAA
Long non-coding RNA from Sesamum indicum (sesame), 2804 nucleotides. RefSeq lists it as uncharacterized. The record is from RefSeq and is a predicted model, not a curated record. NCBI's taxonomy places the organism in Eukaryota, Viridiplantae, Streptophyta, Magnoliopsida, Lamiales, Pedaliaceae.